Mycena rosella is the source of this 87-nucleotide non-coding RNA. The record is from the annotation of a GenBank genome assembly. Lineage: Eukaryota; Fungi; Basidiomycota; Agaricomycetes; Agaricales; Mycenaceae.
GGCUCGGUGGCGGAUGGUCUGUGUCUGCAGUUUCAUUCGGAGUCAUGAAUGCGGCAGAACUCGCUCGUUCGAUUCGGGCCUGAGCCA